AUCUAGUUGAUGAGUCUUAAAUAGGACGAAACCUGUAUCCUGGAU
Molecule: non-coding RNA, 45 nt
Organism: Schistosoma haematobium
Lineage: Eukaryota; Metazoa; Platyhelminthes; Trematoda; Strigeidida; Schistosomatidae
Source: Rfam